RNAcentral lists this ribosomal RNA (372 nucleotides) under uncultured organism. RNAcentral describes it as "partial 16S ribosomal RNA". It matches the Rfam family "Bacterial small subunit ribosomal RNA", at positions 527 to 896 of the family's 1533-position model. The record is from RNAcentral.
GUAGGUGGCAAGCGUUGUCCGGAAUUAUUGGGCGUAAAGCGCGCGCAGGGCGGUCCUUUAAGUCUGAUGUGAAAGCCCACGGCUCAACCGUGGAGGGUCAUUGGAAACUGGGGGACUUGAGUACAGAAGAGGAAAGCGGAAUUCCAAGUGUAGCGGUGAAAUGCGUAGAGAUUUGGAGGAACACCAGUGGCGAAGGCGGCUUUCUGGUCUGUAACUGACGCUGAGGCGCGAAAGCGUGGGGAGCAAACAGGAUUAGAUACCCUGGUAGUCCACGCCGUAAACGAUGAGUGCUAAGUGUUAGGGGGUUUCCGCCCCUUAGUGCUGCAGCUAACGCAUUAAGCACUCCGCCUGGGGAGUACGGCCGCAAGUCUG